GACGAACGCUGGCGGCGUGCUUAACACAUGCAAGUCGAACGGAAAGGCCCUGCUUUUGUGGGGUGCUCGAGUGGCGAACGGGUGAGUAACACGUGAGUAACCUGCCCUUGACUUUGGGAUAACUUCAGGAAACUGGGGCUAAUACCGGAUAGGAGCUCCUGCUGCAUGGUGGGGGUUGGAAAGUUUCGGCGGUUGGGGAUGGACUCGCGGCUUAUCAGCUUGUUGGUGGGGUAGUGGCUUACCAAGGCUUUGACGGGUAGCCGGCCUGGGAGGGUGACCGGCCACAUUGGGACUGAGAUACGGCCCAGACUCCUACGGGAGGCAGCAGUGGGGAAUAUUGCACAAUGGGCGGAAGCCUGAUGCAGCGACGCCGCGUGCGGGAUGACGGCCUUCGGGUUGUAAACCGCUUUCGCCUGUGACGAAGCGUGGGUGACGGUAAUGGGUAAAGAAGCACCGGCUAACUACGUG
RNAcentral lists this ribosomal RNA (468 nucleotides) under uncultured bacterium. Its description in RNAcentral is "partial 16S ribosomal RNA". It matches the Rfam family "Bacterial small subunit ribosomal RNA", at positions 28 to 507 of the family's 1533-position model. The record is from RNAcentral.